GGAGUUGACUGGAUAGUCGCUGCUUCGUUGAUGUCCUUUUGGUAGCAAUAUCAGGGAGACUGUCGGAGGGGAGGAAAGUCCGGGCUUCAUAGAGCAGGGUGCCAGGUAACGCCUGGGGAGCGUGAGCUUACGACAAGUGCAGCAGAGAGAAAACCGCCGAUGGCUUAAUUCCGAUCCUUUCGGGGAAAAGAUAAGCACAGGUAAGGGUGAAAGGGUGCGGUAAGAGCGCACCGUGCGUCUGGCAACAGUUCGUAGCAAGGUAAACUCCACCCGAAGCAAGACCAAAUAGGCCCUCACAUUGCGUUGCUCGCGUAUGGGGGCGGGUAGGUUGCUCGAGCCAGUGAGCGAUUGCUGGCCUAGACGAAUGGCUAUCACCGCUUUUUCUUUCUAGGAAGAGAGGCGGAACAGAACCCGGCUUAUGAUGUCAACUCCACCA
Molecule: RNase P RNA, 436 nt
Filed under: Vibrio sp.
Lineage: Bacteria; Pseudomonadati; Pseudomonadota; Gammaproteobacteria; Vibrionales; Vibrionaceae
Also listed under: 1 other name
Description: RNase P RNA component class A
Rfam family: Bacterial RNase P class A
About the family: Ribonuclease P (RNase P) is a ubiquitous endoribonuclease, found in archaea, bacteria and eukarya as well as chloroplasts and mitochondria. Its best characterised activity is the generation of mature 5'-ends of tRNAs by cleaving the 5'-leader elements of precursor-tRNAs. Cellular RNase Ps are ribonucleoproteins.
Source: RNAcentral